RNAcentral lists this long non-coding RNA (438 nucleotides) under Homo sapiens (human). Its description in RNAcentral is "HSALNT0049327". The record is from RNAcentral. Lineage: Eukaryota; Metazoa; Chordata; Mammalia; Primates; Hominidae.
UGCAGAGCCUCCAUAACUGGUCAGAGGAACUGAACUCCCGGCCCCAAAAAACCCUAUACACAGCAAAGGAGAGGCAUAGAUGGGAGGUAACCUCUUCUUAGAAACAGCAAAAUGAUGUGCAAAAGAGACAGAGACAUCCUACAAAACUCUAUUUACUUUUCUCAUAUUUGAGGGGAAAAAAACCAUUCAGAAACCCUUCCCUGAAAAUUAAGGCCUGGACCCAAGUGGAGAUGGAAACCUUUGAUUCCAACUGACCCUACUGCUGUGUUCACAAGGACAGGACCACGUGAUUACUCCGGGAUCCCUGAACACACAGCCCUUGGCCUGAGGAAUGAUCCAAUUGUAGCUUCCCUGACCUGACCUCAAGAAAGAUGCAAUCCUCCUGUAUGACAUCAAAGCUUCGUUUGCUCCCACAGCUCUCACCCGCGACUUCCCUAA